GAUGAAGAACGCAGCGAAAUGCGAUAACUAGUGUGAAUUGCAGAAUUCCGUGAAUCAUCGAGUCUUUGAACGCACAUUGCGCCCCCUGGUAUUCCGGGGGGCAUGCCUGUCCGAGCGUCAUUGCUGCCCAUCAAGCACGGCUUGUGUGUUGGGUCGUCGUCCCCCCCUCCGGGGGGGGACGGGCCCUAAAGGCAGCGGCGGCACCGCGUCCGAUCCUCGAGCGUAUGGGGCUUUGUCACCCGCUCUGUAGGCCCGGCCGGCGCUUGCCGAACGCAAAACAACCAUUCUUUCCAGGUUGACCUCGGAUCAGGUAGGGAUACCCGCUGAACUUAAGCAUAUCAAUAAGCGGAGGA
RNAcentral lists this unclassified non-coding RNA (353 nucleotides) under soil metagenome. RNAcentral describes it as "partial contains 5.8S ribosomal RNA, internal transcribed spacer 2, and large subunit ribosomal RNA". The stretch from base 1 to 120 matches the Rfam family "5.8S ribosomal RNA", at positions 35 to 154 of the family's 154-position model. The record is from RNAcentral.